CAGCCGCCGCGGUAAUACGUAGGUGGCAAGCGUUGUCCGGAAUUAUUGGGCGUAAAGGGCUCGCAGGCGGUUUCUUAGGUCUGAUGUGAAAGCCCCCGGCUCAACCGGGGAGGGUCAUUGGAAACUGGGAAACUUGAGUGCAGAAGAGGAGAGUGGAAUUCCACGUGUAGCGGUGAAAUGCGUAGAGAUGUGGAGGAACACCAGUGGCGAAGGCGACUCUCUGGUCUGUAACUGACGCUGAGGAGCGAAAGCGUGGGGAGCGAACAGGAUUAGAUACCCCGGUAGUCCCUGUCUCUUAUAC
RNAcentral lists this ribosomal RNA (301 nucleotides) under uncultured bacterium. RNAcentral's name for it is "partial 16S ribosomal RNA". It matches the Rfam family "Bacterial small subunit ribosomal RNA", at positions 509 to 807 of the family's 1533-position model. The record is from RNAcentral.